Molecule: ribosomal RNA, 320 nt
Filed under: Fibrobacter succinogenes
Lineage: Bacteria; Pseudomonadati; Fibrobacterota; Fibrobacteria; Fibrobacterales; Fibrobacteraceae
Description: partial 16S ribosomal RNA
Source: RNAcentral
GGAGUCUGGGCCGUAUCUCAGUCCCAAUGUGGCCGAUCACCCUCUCAGGCCGGCUACCGAUCGUCGCCUUGGUGGGCCGUUGCCCCGCCAACUAGCUAAUCGGACGCAAGCUCAUCCCAUACCGAUAAAUCUCUAGUCAGCCCUCCGUGCGGAAGGCCACUCUCCUGGACAUUAACCGCGCGUUGGCACGGGUAUUUCCUGAUAUGGGGGCAGAUUGCUUACGCGUUACUCACCCGUGCGCCGGUCGCCAUCAAAGUUUGCAAGCAAACUUCAUGCUGCCCCUCGACUUGCAUGUGUUAAGCCUGUAGCUAGCGUUCAUC